GAUGAACGCUGGCGGCGUGCCUAAUACAUGCAAGUCGAGCGAACGGACGAGAAGCUUGCUUCUCUAAUGUUAGCGGCGGACGGGUGAGUAACACGUGGAUAACCUACCUAUAAGACUGGGAUAACUUCGGGAAACCGUAGCUAAUACCGGAUAAUAUUUUGAACCGCAUGGUUCAAAAGUGAAAGACGGUCUUGCUGUCACUUAUAGAUGGAUCCGCGCUGCAUUAGCUAGUUGGUAAGGUAACGGCUUACCAAGGCAACGAUGCAUAGCCGACCUGAGAGGGUGAUCGGCCACACUGGAACUGAGUCACGGUCCAGACUCCUACGGGAGGCAGCAGUAGGGAAUCUUCCGCAAUGGGCGAAAGCCUGACGGAGCAACGCCGCGUGAGUGAUGAAGGUCUUCGGAUCGUAAAACUCUGUUAUUAGGGAAGAACAUAUGUGUAAGUAACUGUGCACAUCUUGACGGUACCUAAUCAGAAAGCCACGGCUAACUACGUG
RNAcentral lists this ribosomal RNA (497 nucleotides) under uncultured bacterium. Its description in RNAcentral is "partial 16S ribosomal RNA". It matches the Rfam family "Bacterial small subunit ribosomal RNA", at positions 28 to 507 of the family's 1533-position model. The record is from RNAcentral.